Molecule: long non-coding RNA, 698 nt
Filed under: Rosa chinensis
Lineage: Eukaryota; Viridiplantae; Streptophyta; Magnoliopsida; Rosales; Rosaceae
Description: sRNA RchiOBHm_Chr3g0488581
Source: RNAcentral
CUUUUAGGUUGACAGAAGAUUUCAGUGGAUUGUCGUUGGACGAGAACACGGUGGCACACGCUAUCAAGCUGUUGAUAGAAACGAAACAUGUUCUAAUAUCAAAUUUAUCAGCUAUAGGAAAUGGAACGCCUGAAGAAGCAGAACGGUUCUGGUUUUCGUUUGUUUUGUUCUCGGUGAAAACAUUGAGUGAGAAGAGUUCUGAUAAUUCAAAAAUUGAGAGCUGCUAAGCUGAACAUUGUGGAUUUCUUUAAGGAGCUUCCACAGUUUAUUGUUAAGGCUGGCCCAAUUUUAAGUAAUCUGUAUGAUGUAGAUUGGGAGAGCAAACUUGAGGCAAAAGAGUUAGAGGGCACUUUUCUGUACUUGAGCCUUUUAAGCAAAUCCUGCUACUGCUGCUGAUUCUCAAGCAAACAAGGAAGCAGCUAAUGAAUGUUCUGUUUUCGUUAAAAAUGUGAGGAAAGUUCAAUUUGUUUUGACCUCUUAGUUGGGAAGAGAUGCUGCCAUUGUGUAUGUAUUCAGGACUGCUAGUUCAGGAAUGAUAUAAAUUAGCUUUCAAGGCAUACGAGUAGAUGCAAUUGCAUGGGUGUCGUCACUGUGGUGUUAUCAGAUGCAUCUUUUGAUUGCAGUAUUUAAAAGCUUUGUUAGAUCAAGACGUUUUGACAUGGAAAAGUAAACAAAAUAUAAAUGAGAUUAACUAGACC